This 394-nucleotide ribosomal RNA is filed under the name uncultured bacterium. Its description in RNAcentral is "bacterial SSU rRNA". It matches the Rfam family "Bacterial small subunit ribosomal RNA", at positions 505 to 898 of the family's 1533-position model. The record is from RNAcentral.
GUGCCAGCCGCCGCGGUAAUACGUAGGUGGCAAGCGUUGUCCGGAAUUAUUGGGCGUAAAGCGCGCGCAGGCGGGAUAACAAGUCUGUUGUCAAAGUUCGGGGCUUAACCCCGUGACGCGAUGGAAACUGUUAUUCUUGAGUGUCGGAGAGGAAAGCGGAAUUCCCAGUGUAGCGGUGAAAUGCGUAGAUAUUGGGAGGAACACCAGUGGCGAAGGCGGCUUUCUGGACGAUGUCUGACGCUGAGGCGCGAAAGCCAGGGAAGUGAACGGGAUUAGAUACCCCGGUAAUCCUGGCUGUAAACGAUGGGUACUAGGUGUAGGGGGUAUCGACCCCUCCUGUGCCGGAGUUAACGCAAUAAGUACCCCGCCUGGGGAAUACGGCCGCAAGGUUGAA